CUAAAUAUUGAACUUAUUAAAUUUAAAUCUUAAGUCCGCUUCUUAUGGUAAGUGGUGGUUUUGUUGUGUAGCGCAAAUGGAAUGGCAGCCCCCACGAGGCCAAGAUGAGUAUUCUUAUUGUUGAUGUGGCCAUGCCAUUAUCCUUGGCCUGCCGCGCAGCAGAAGACGAAGGGUAGCCCACCCCUUUCCACCACUAAAUGACUAGUUUUAUACAAAUUAUAUAUGGUCAUACACUCUUGGAUUCUCUGUCAUUCCCCAGUAGCCAGUAGGCAAAAAACCACCAAGUCUUACCACUGAUUCCACUAAUAAUAGUCCUGGCCACAUCAGUUUUCUGCUGCCUCUGCCUUAGCUAAGUAAUGGGAAUUGUGUAAACUACUUAAAAUAAAGACAUUAAGGGUGUUCACGCACAUCGAGAAAGCAAUAUGAUACUCAAAUAAAGAAGAAAAGUUGCGGUAGGUUGAUUGUCAGAAUGAUUAUAAAAUAAAAUAAGUACAUAUUGGACCUAAAUUGUAACGAAUAUAGAGAAUUCGUCGAACUCCACUAAUUUGGAAUUGAGUAGUAGUCGAUAUAUAGAUAUUAAGUUUUUUCCUUCCCCAUCUCUCUUUACAUGUGUACAUAAACCUGUAGCUAGCCAUCUACCAAACUCACUGUGAGUUACUCAACCUAAUACAAGUACUGCAUAUUGCAGAUAAUCUUAACAUUUACACUUAUACAACAUCCAAGUUCCUUGUAUCUCAUAUUUUUGGCAAUGAAAACUGGGAUGAGAGUGAGAAGAUCCUUAACAGUAGCGUUUUUUCCAGUGGCCUGCCUGUUCCUGCUUUCUUUUGUAGCUUGUGCAGGACCAUUGAGGUGGAUUCUUCUAUCAAGCUAUCUCAUCUACUACCUAGCUUUGUCUCUCUGGAUUUUGGCUGCAUUGCAUACAACAUGACAUUCGAUCCAUACCCUGAGGAAACCAAGAAUGUUUUGAAAUGAGGAAUUUCCAUCAUUCACUGUCUCUAUUUUCUUGGUUAUGUUCUCAAGCUAUCUCUUGCCUUUUGCUUUCCCUCAACCACUUUGAAAGAAUCAACAAUCUCUGUGUACUGAAGCAUAAAGAGGAUAAUGUGUAAUAUUCAUCUUCAGCACGUUACUUUAUAAACAACCUGUGUCCGAUACUCUGGCA
This is a long non-coding RNA of Lycium ferocissimum, 1159 nucleotides long. RefSeq lists it as uncharacterized. NCBI's taxonomy places the organism in Eukaryota, Viridiplantae, Streptophyta, Magnoliopsida, Solanales, Solanaceae. The transcript has 2 exons. The record is from RefSeq and is a predicted model, not a curated record.